AAAGACUUGGUCCCAACCUUACUGUUGGUUGUUGCUAGACUUAUACAUGCAAGUAUCCGCGCGCCAGUGAGAAAAGCCCUAGGCACCCUAAAUAGGUCGAUAGGAGCGGGUAUCAGGCACACCAUUACUGUAGCCCAAGACGCCUUGCAAUUGCCACGCCCCCACGGGUAUUCAGCAGUAGUUAAUAUUAAGCAAUGAGUGUAAACUUGACUUAGUCAUAGCAAUUUAGGGUCGGUAAAUCCUGUGCCAGCCACCGCGGUCAUACAGGAGACCCAAAUUAACAUUAUAACGGCGUAAAGUGUGGUACUAUGUUAUCCGAGUAACUAAGAUUAAAAAGCAACUGAGCCGUCACAAGCCAAAGAUGCUCAUAAGGCCACUUACAAAAGAAAAUCUUAGAGCCACGAUUAAUUGAAACCCACGAAAGCCAGGGCCCAAACUGGGAUUAGAUACCCCACUAUGCCUGGCCCUAAAUCAUGAUGCUCGAUCUUACCGGAGCAUCCGCCCGAGAACUACGAGCGCAAACGCUUAAAACUCUAAGGACCUGGCGGUGCUCUAAACCCACCUAGAGGAGCCUGUUCUGUAAUCGAUGAUCCACGAUAUACCUUACCAUCCCUUGCCAAAUCAGCCUACAUACCGCCGUCGCCAGCCCACCCACCUUGAAGGCCCAACAGUGGACGCAAUAGCCCCGUUACGCUAAUACGACAGGUCAAGGUAUAGCCUAUGGGAUGGAAGUAAUGGGCUACAUUUUCUAGUUUAGAACACACGGCAAAGGGAUCUGAAACGGCCCCUGGAAGGCGGAUUUAGCAGUAAAGAGAGAUAAUCGAGCUCUCUUUAAGCCGGCUCUAGAGCGCGUACACACCGCCCGUCACCCUCCUCAAAAGCGACCAAAACCCCCCCCAUAAUUAAUAAGUUAUUCAGCCGAAGAUGAGGUAAGUCGUAACAAGGUAAGUGUACCGGAAGGUGUACUUAGGAUAC
RNAcentral lists this non-coding RNA (975 nucleotides) under Locustella castanea (Chestnut-backed bush-warbler). RNAcentral's name for it is "12S ribosomal RNA". It matches the Rfam family "Bacterial small subunit ribosomal RNA". The record is from RNAcentral. Lineage: Eukaryota; Metazoa; Chordata; Aves; Passeriformes; Locustellidae.